Molecule: long non-coding RNA, 1604 nt
Organism: Equus caballus (horse)
Lineage: Eukaryota; Metazoa; Chordata; Mammalia; Perissodactyla; Equidae
Source: Ensembl
AGAAGUUGCUUGAGCAAAGUCACAGAUGGUGGCUAUUACGUAGCAGAACUAGUCACAGACUAGCAUGUGGGAUGCAACCCUACACCUUUCUUACUCCCAGUUCUUUGCCCUUAAGUAAUGCUAUGACAUUUGGUAAGUUCCCAAGAAGGAUAAGUUGAGCUCGACAAUGUUUUGAGCUCGGGCGGCUGAGACAAUGAAGAUGUCACUGACGGAGAUGGUUUUGGAAAGGAAGUUGCGAGGCAGAUGGUGAACCACUCCUCCGGCUCUCCUUCCCAGUGCACAAAUCUGCAAUAAACCCUGCUCUCUUGGACUCAGUGAUUCCCUCGGCUGGGAUCUGCACAGGAACCCACGGGCCAGACAGCUUAAACGUUAAGCAGUUACACAGUCAUGAAGCCCUAUCAGCAACACUUUGAAGGAUGCAGUGUCAUCGCUCCCAGUUUACCAAUGAUGAACCAGUCUUAUGGGAAUUAUAUAACAUGCUCCAGGUCCCCAAGAUCCAAGGGGCUGUGUAACGGUGAAGAAGGGAACAUCCUCACACUGUGGUGAAGGCAAGAGCAGGUAACGAAUGAAAUAAAUAGAAUAGGGACAAAUAGUUACUGCUCAGAGUCAAAGCUACUGGAUUAAAGGAUUGCAGAAUCCAUUGCAAAUAUCUUAGGCAAUUCCCCAUUUCUGUCCUGUCAGGCUCCUGGGAAAAUGAAUACCACCCCCUGGUUUUUGCUCCAACUCUGACCCCUCUAAGCCUCCAACCUACCACGCGUGAAGCUCAGAACUGCAUUUCCCUGAGUUGCCUGCAGGUUGAGACUGUCCCCAGGUUCCUGUGGGCAGGGUUUGCAUACACUCACGGGAGCAGAGAGCUGACAACCCACAGACUUACCUGGACUUGCUGCUCAGUGGCUGGGGAGGAAGCCUGGGGCUGAUCUCAAGGGCGGGGAAGUCAGUGUGAACAUCUUCAUCGCUGGCAGACAAGAGGCACUGCCAUGAGUUCCUGGAGCCUUAUCAGGUGGCGUUUGCGUCUGAAGACAGUGAAUUCUGAAGGGUAGAGGCAGGCUGGGGCGUAGGGAUUAGCACAGGGCAGGAAGCAGAUCUCCGCAGGGCGUUGGUUUCUUCUGGGAUCUCUCGAGCUUGGUGAGGGCCUCAUGGGGCCAUGGCCAGGGCACUGGAUGGUUGGAUAAAAGCUGCUUUAGCCAUUUAACAAAUGGCUAAAUGACAUCACUCAUUUUAAAGUAAACUCGUACUGUGAUAUAUAUUUCAUUUCUGAAACUCUCAGGGGCACAUGAUUCAGGUGUUUAUAACCUGACAGGGAAGACGAUACCUGUGUGUAACCAGCUCAGUAGAAGGGAAGCACUGGUGACAGAAGUGAAGGGAACCAACAGUGGCCUUGGCUCCCGACUCUUGCCAGUGGAGCAUCUCCUGGGAUGCUGUGGAAACACCCAGACGUGGGAUCCAAGACCAGUUAGGUCAUAAUCUGUGAGAGUAUCCCAUAAUCUCCGGGAUUGGAAAUGUCUUACACUCCCAGAGAUGUUAAUACACAGCAAUCGAGACUGUCAGAUGGCAGGGGUUCUCCCCAUGGCUGCACACUGGAACCACCUGGGGAGCCAGGCCAC